GGUCUUAUAGUCAAAAAAUGAUUUUAAAUUGCAAAUUUAAAGGUAAAGUAAUUUUAAGGCUU
RNAcentral lists this transfer RNA (62 nucleotides) under Neochauliodes digitiformis. RNAcentral describes it as "tRNA-Cys". Lineage: Eukaryota; Metazoa; Arthropoda; Insecta; Megaloptera; Corydalidae. RNAcentral also lists the same sequence under 1 other name. The record is from RNAcentral.